RNAcentral lists this ribosomal RNA (370 nucleotides) under Metanepsia javana. RNAcentral's name for it is "partial 16S ribosomal RNA". Lineage: Eukaryota; Metazoa; Arthropoda; Insecta; Diptera; Mycetophilidae. The record is from RNAcentral.
UCGAAGGUAGCAUAAUCAGUAGUUUUUUAAUUGAAAACUAGAAUGAAGGAUUUAACGAAAUAUUUACUGUAUCAUUAAAAAUUUAUUAGAAUUUUAUAUUUUAGUAAAAAAGCUAAAAUAAAAUUUAAAGACGAGAAGACCCUAUAGAGUUUUAUAAAUUAUUUUUAUAUUUAAAUAAUAAUUUUAUAAAAUAUAAAUUUUUAAUUUAUUUUAUUGGGGUGAUAAUAAAAUAUAAUAAUCUUUUAAUUAAAUAUUAACAAAAUUUAUUGAAUUAUUGAUCUUAUUUUAUAGAUUAUAAGAUUAAAUUACCUUAGGGAUAACAGCGUAAUUUUUUUGGAGAGUUCUUAUUGAUAAAAAAGUUUGCGACCUC